CGCACAUUGCGCCCUCUGGUAUUCCGGAGGGCAUGCCUGUCCGAGCGUCAUUAUCAACCCUCGAGCCUAGCUUGGUCUUGGGUCUCGUCGGCCUGACCGCCGGACGGACUCGAAAGGGAAUGACCGAUCCCCCGUGGAACCCUGGAUGCAGCGAGCUUUGUAGCAUGCGUCACGGUGGUCGCGGGGCUCCGGUCUGAUCAAACGUCUUUCUGAUUGACCUCGGAUCAGGUAGGGAUACCCGCUGAACUUAA
RNAcentral lists this unclassified non-coding RNA (251 nucleotides) under Normandina sp. RNAcentral describes it as "partial contains 5.8S ribosomal RNA, internal transcribed spacer 2, and large subunit ribosomal RNA". Lineage: Eukaryota; Fungi; Ascomycota; Eurotiomycetes; Verrucariales; Verrucariaceae. The record is from RNAcentral.